This 454-nucleotide ribosomal RNA is filed under the name uncultured bacterium. RNAcentral describes it as "bacterial SSU rRNA". It matches the Rfam family "Bacterial small subunit ribosomal RNA", at positions 29 to 512 of the family's 1533-position model. The record is from RNAcentral.
AGCGAACGCUGGCGGCAGGCCUAAUACAUGCAAGUCGAACGAAGCCUUCGGGCUUAGUGGCGGACGGGUGAGUAACACGUGGGAACGUACCCUUUGGUUCGGAACAACUCAGGGAAACUUGAGCUAAUACCGAAUGAGCCCCCAUCCUUGAACAAGAUGGGUGGGAAAGAUUUAUCGCCAUUGGAGCGGCCCGCGUCUGAUUAGCUAGUUGGUGGGGUAAAGGCCCACCAAGGCUACGAUCAGAGCUGGUCUGAGAGGAUGAUCAGCCACACUGGGACUGAGACACGGCCCAGACUCCUACGGGAGGCAGCAGUAGGGAAUCUUGCGCAAUGGGCGAAAGCCUGACGCAGCCAUGCCGCGUGAAUGAUGAAGGUCUUAGGAUUGUAAAAUUCUUUCAGCGGGGACGAUAAUGACGGUACCCGCAGAAGAACGCCCCGGCUAACUUCGUGACAGC